AACGUAGGAGGCGAGCGUUAUCCGGAUUCACUGGGCGUAAAGCGCGUGCAGGUGGUUCGGUAAGUUGGGCGUGAAAUCUCCCGGCUCAACUGGGAGAGGUCGUUCAAUACUACCGAACUUGAGAGCAGAAGAGGAAGAUGGAAUUCCCGGUGUAGUGGUGAAAUGCGUAGAUAUCGGGAGGAACACCUGAGGCGAAGGCGGGCUACUGGGCCGAUACUGACGCUGAUGUGCGAAAGCCAGGGGAGCGAACGGG
Molecule: ribosomal RNA, 253 nt
Filed under: uncultured bacterium
Lineage: Bacteria
Description: partial 16S ribosomal RNA
Rfam family: Bacterial small subunit ribosomal RNA
Source: RNAcentral